GGGCGAGUGGCGGAAUUGGUAUACGCGACGGACUUAAAAUCCGUUGGCAGAAAUGCCUUGAGGGUUCAAGUCCCUCCUCGCCCACCA
Molecule: transfer RNA, 87 nt
Filed under: Candidatus Saccharimonadota bacterium
Lineage: Bacteria; Candidatus Saccharimonadota
Also listed under: 2 other names
Description: tRNA-Leu
Rfam family: tRNA
About the family: Transfer RNA (tRNA) molecules are approximately 80 nucleotides in length. Their secondary structure includes four short double-helical elements and three loops (D, anti-codon, and T loops).
Source: RNAcentral